Molecule: long non-coding RNA, 778 nt
Organism: Sebastes umbrosus (honeycomb rockfish)
Lineage: Eukaryota; Metazoa; Chordata; Actinopteri; Perciformes; Sebastidae
Exons: 3
Source: RefSeq, a predicted model, not a curated record
GUGGUAAUUCAGCAGAGCAGAUACAAAAUUGAAGGCAAGGUUAUUUACUAGCUAACUAGUGUUUUUGAAUGAUAUCUGAAAACCACAUGUUCUAUAGAUCAGAUGGUCAGAAUAUUCAUAAUUGAUCAAAAAACGGUUUCUCAACCAGUAAUGCACACCACUCAACACAAUUCAUUUCAAACAUUGACUAAAAAUCCAUGAAGUUGACUGAGGAAAAUUCUUUCUAAGUUUCAGGUGAAACAGCAGGAAGCUAUUGGCGCUGGAUGGUCAGCCUUGAGGGCCACUUCAUAUGUGAGGGGAUCCAGCCCACCUUCUUGAUGGGGCUUGCUGCAUUAUUUUCCACCUUCUACACCUGCACGCUCAAAUUAAUCUCAAGGUGCACCGUAGGAAUAAACCCUGAGAGAGGCACCAAGGAUGGACAGGGCAAAGUCUUCUCAAAGAAAACUGGCAAAUUCACGAGCUACAAGACAAGACUACAACCGUAUAUCCACAUGUAUCCACUCUGCUGAUGGGACUCAUGGACUUGAGUGGGACUUCAUUUAAAAUGUCAGCGGGCUACCAAGGCUGGAUUGAGAGAACUGGUGUCUUUGAGUGGGCCAUAAGUCAUUCACUAACUCACUCCCCGACCAUCGCCCAAUACUUGGACUUCCACACUUAUCCAUGUGCCUUGUUAGAGACUGAAUAUUCAUACUUGGACAUGAUGUCACAUGUCUGGUGGUGUUGGUGCUCAUUAUGAUAUAAGGCAAAAUAUUAUUUGAAAGUUUUGUUUUAACUCUAU